This is a long non-coding RNA of Brassica rapa (field mustard), 2966 nucleotides long. RefSeq lists it as uncharacterized. The record is from RefSeq and is a predicted model, not a curated record. NCBI's taxonomy places the organism in Eukaryota, Viridiplantae, Streptophyta, Magnoliopsida, Brassicales, Brassicaceae.
UUUAGAAUCAGAUAUAACCUGAUCCAAACCCAAUAUGAUACUGAAAAUCAAAAAUCCGAUAUCCCAAGCCAAAUUCUAAUAGGUACAUGAAUGUCACGCCUACUUUAGUUCUUUGUUUUUUUUUCAAAAUUCAGUUCUAUAUUCUGGUAUGUAAAAGAUUGAGAAAAGUCUUGUAAGCCAUGUUAACACACAAUGAACUUGAAAAGGAUAUUAACUAUUAAAUACUUUUUUCAACCCAAAUAUUGCUUGAAAUUCUUUUGGAUGACCUUCUGAUUUCAAUCAAUUUUGUUUUAAUAUAUACCUUUAAAAUAUCCUUCAAUAUCAUAUAAUAGGUAUAUUUCGUUAAAACCUAUUCCCAAAUUUCAUAAAAUGGAACAAAAUUAUUCGUUUUGAAUCACCAAAUUUUGUUUUUUUUUCUUCUUGAAAUUAUCGAUCAAGUUUUAUAAAAAUAGAAGUUCAAAAUCUAGAGUUCUCUUGUUAUGAUAUUGUGCAUGAUUGAUUGGACUUGUAACGGUAAAAAAGUUCAUGUAGAAUUUAGUCUAUAAGAUUUUUUGAGGUAGUUUUAUCUAAUCUAGUUAUAAUAUUUAAGUGAAAGAAAAAAACUAACAACCUUUUUUUCUUCUAUAUCUUACUAAAUAAUGCUUUAGAAAUAAGAUUUAUACAAUUAUUAUUUUUUAUUUUUUAAUUGUACAUUUUCUCCAUUCACUGCUAGAAAACAUGGCUGUUAGCUUGUCUCUUUUCUCUGGCAACGUAAGAAAUGAUGAUGAAAAUCUCGGAACUCCCGGUCUGACGAUGUCUCUCCUUUUUGUGAAUGAUCUCAUCAAUGCUAAUGUUUUAUGAUGAGCAUAUAUGAAGAUCCUCAACUUUUUGGCCAUUUGAAUUGUGCUUUUGAACUUUGGAAGUCUUGAAAGGCUUUCAAGCAUCAAAUUGAUAGAGUGAGUAGCACAUGACGUCUAAAAAAAUAGUAGGCUUGAUUUCUUUCAACAUCUUUGGCUCUUUGCUGCAGCCAUAUUGUUAGUGGCAUUAUCUGUCACCACUUGAACAACAUUCUCCUCCCCAACCUCCUCAAUGCAUCUAUUGACGUACUCAAAAAUGUAGGCACCUGUAUGAGCUUCAUCUGGGCAGUCUUUAGAAGACCGGAACAUUGUUCCUCCUUUUGAAUUGAUGCACAGGUUCAUGAUACUUCUUCUCUUCUGAUAUGUCCAAGCAUCCGUCAUAAUGGUGCACCCAUUCUUCUUCAAUUCUUCUUCUUGCGGUUUCAGCAGACCAUUAAUCCUCUCAACUUCUUCCUUAAGUAAAGGCUCUCGAAGUUGGUAUUGGCUUGGUGGGGUAACUCCUGGACCAUACUUCCCUAUAGCUUCAACCAUCAAGGUAAACUCAUCGUUUGAUAUAGCAUUGAAAGGAGCACCAGAAGCAUACACCCAUCUAGAAACCCACCGAUUUGGACACCACAACCAAGACGGAGCACCGAGCAACCCCACUCUAUUAGAGUGAUGGUUUACGUUUACAAUGGUUUAGACUUAGCUUAUUCCCGUUAAGUAUUACUCUCUCUAUAUAAAGAGAAAGACGUUGUAACAGAUUCUUUUAACUUGAAUAAGAAGAAAAGUUCAUCAUCAUGUAACAAACUUUCUCUCUCGCUAAUUCAAGUAAUAUGGUGUCAGAGCGUUGAAAUUUACGUUCAACAAUCACGAUCCUGAGCUUCGAUCUUCCGCAAGAUCUUGAAACCUAAAACUCCUCCUCCACACCUUCCCCGCCAUCCUCGAACGGGAUCCUCACCUGGAAGGAGAAAUGCGGUCUCCCGCUUCUGUGUGAUGACCGUCGCUCGUUGCUCCCCUGUAGCUCGCCAGAUCCUCCCCUCCUCAUCACGGCCUUAAAGAGACCUGCACCUCACUAACACAUGACGUUGCGAAGAAAACAGGAAAAUCGAAGAACCCUCUCUCACAAGUCACAAUUCAAAAUCCAGUUUUAAUAUGAACGGAUUAGGUCUGGAACUUCCUCUCAACUGAUUCUACACAUAAUCACUCUUAAUUUCAGUUCAGAAUAUAUUGAUGUAUAUGUUUUAGUUUGUCCUAAAUUUCUUUUGUCUAUGGAGUAAAUUACUUUGGAUAUAUAUAAAUAUAUAAAGGCCACACCUUUAGAUCUCUAGCUUACGAUAAUUGACCUAAUUAUAUUGUGUUGCAGAGAAUUUCAUGGUAACAUGAAUUUGUUGCACAAGAUAUCUAGGAGACGUUCAGCUAACACGAAGAUAAGCUCUUUAUAAGUUCUCUUCUACUUGACAUGUUGCGUGAAUUAGUCUCUUCAAUUAGUUCAAAGUGAUUCUCUUCAGACUAAUCAUAAGUACAUCCCUCAUUCGACAAGUGAUAUUACUUUUGGUUGGCCUUGCAAUUUUCAGUAUCUCUUUUUCCUCUCAGUUUUCUUGAAUGCUUAAACCUCAAAGAAAAGGUUGAUAUAUACACCAUAACCAAGAGAAGGUGCAAAUCAAAGCAUGGAGUGACUGGACUCUAGGGGAUCGGACACUAAUGUGCUAUGUAGAGCUGUUCUAACGACAAGAGACAGUGAACAUCAGUGAAAUCAAAUUAAGUAAUCAGUUUUGGAUUAUUGGAAGGAUGCUUUAUGAGAGGAACUCAUGUUUGAAAGAGAUGAAGGGAGAGCAACGUUUGUGACUUGAUGGAAAAUGUGUGCUUGAUGGCAAGGCAUUGUUUUUAGUUAAAUUAUUAAUUAUUUGUUCAUUUUCAGUGUCUGCGGAUUACUAAUAAUGUUUAUAAUGAACACUGAAGGUUAGGAGGAGCACAACACAAACCAUAACAUUCUAGGAAACUACGACGAUAGUUUAAAUGAGUUUCACUUAUGUUAAUGUACAAAACGCUCAAAAUAUUUUCAUUUUAUAAAAAGAGAGACUUAUAAUUCAUACAAGCACCAAACAAAAAAUCUAAAGGUUAAGAGCAUAACACAACAAAAACAUUCAU